AAAUUGAAGAGUUUGAUCAUGGCUCAGAUUGAACGCUGGCGGCAGGCCUAACACAUGCAAGUCGAACGGUAACAGGAAGCAGCUUGCUGCUUCGCUGACGAGUGGCGGACGGGUGAGUAAUGUCUGGGAAACUGCCUGAUGGAGGGGGAUAACUACUGGAAACGGUGGCUAAUACCGCAUAACGUCGCAAGACCAAAGAGGGGGACCUUUGGGCCUCUUGCCAUCAGAUGUGCCCAGAUGGGAUUAGCU
RNAcentral lists this ribosomal RNA (249 nucleotides) under Salmonella enterica. RNAcentral describes it as "partial 16S ribosomal RNA". It matches the Rfam family "Bacterial small subunit ribosomal RNA", at positions 1 to 246 of the family's 1533-position model. Lineage: Bacteria; Pseudomonadati; Pseudomonadota; Gammaproteobacteria; Enterobacterales; Enterobacteriaceae. The record is from RNAcentral. RNAcentral also lists the same sequence under 1 other name.